AAGCGCAGACGUCCCAUCCUCCUCCCAGGAACGUCUGUCAGAACUGCGACCUCCUCCUCCCAGUCGCCGUUCAUGCAUUCAGAAGCCUGUCGCACCUCCUCCCGCGACGGGCUUCUUUG
Molecule: small RNA, 119 nt
Filed under: Sinorhizobium medicae
Lineage: Bacteria; Pseudomonadati; Pseudomonadota; Alphaproteobacteria; Hyphomicrobiales; Rhizobiaceae
Description: ar14
Rfam family: Alphaproteobacterial ar14
About the family: Smr14C2 was renamed NfeR1 (Nodule Formation Efficiency RNA) highly expressed in salt stress and during the symbiotic interaction on legume roots.
Source: RNAcentral